This 2207-nucleotide long non-coding RNA is filed under the name Nicotiana tabacum (common tobacco). RNAcentral's name for it is "long non-coding RNA (NTAB_LNC016921)". Lineage: Eukaryota; Viridiplantae; Streptophyta; Magnoliopsida; Solanales; Solanaceae. The record is from RNAcentral.
CCCAAAGUGCAAAAUGAGCACGACACCGGACUCUCCGCUACCAUCGCCUUGUUGCUCUCCCUCUUCAAUUACUGCUCGGUCUCUCUCUCUCUCUCUCUUUCUCUGUGUGUGUGUUGUGCUUAAUUGAAGGUCAAUUUUACUUGGUUUCAAUUUUGUUGAUUCCAGAGGUUUUCGCUAUUAUAAAUUGGUGUUUUGUUCAAUUUAGGAUUUGUGAUAGAAGAGAUAUAGAUAAUUUUGAUUUAUUGAGAAAGGAUGUUACUAAGCAUCAACAUUGAAGACACAUUGAUCCUUACAUCAGCCUGCAGAGUAGUAAGGUUUUUGCAGAACCUUAUCUGAUUUUAUUUUAAUGGUUCCUACUUCUAUGUAUCAUUACUGGAGUGGUUUUUUGUGCAGUAGUAGGAAAAUAUGAAGUCAGAUUGGUUAAAUUCAGUGUUUGAGGAUGUUCCUAAGCACAACAAGGCCAAAGAUUGCUGGCUUAUCAUCGGUGAUUUUUUUAUCUUUGAUAUCAAGUUAGUUUUAAUUAUGAGUCAUUUUAUUGUCUUAUCAUCAGCGGAAAGGUUAUUAUAUUAUAGCUUCAUCCAUUUUAUUUUUAUAUUUCUUUUGUGUCACUGGUGAUUUUAGUCAUACUGAUUAUCUAUAUGAGUUUUUGGUUAUCUGUCUUUUUUUUUAGCAAUCCAUUAGGCAAAUGCCUAGGGCUAGUUUUUAUAUAUAUCUAAAUCAAAAUCAGAAAACAAACCAGAGUAAUGUAGUGUGUUAAAAGAUGUAGAGACAUAAUCUAUGUUGAAUACAUAGCCCCUAGUACCAUAAUUGAGUAAAAUAUACUCCACUAUGGUAGUACAUUUUGAACUAGUUGAGAGAUGGCAAAGCAAUCUACGUAAGUGGUGAGUAGAAACUAGCCCCAUGAAUGCAGAAAAAGCAUCAAAUAUCCACACUGCCCAGUAGGGAACGAGCAUUCCUCGUCGCUUGAUGUAAUCCCAUUUUUGCUCUAGUAAAAUCCAGCAUUGUAGUAGUGAUAUCAAGAAACCUCGCUGCAUAUAGUUAAAAUCAAAUACCAGUUCUGGUACCUUGUAGUCGCACGCAUGUUUUGGUGUGGCCCUCCUUGUACGCAUAGGAUAUGUUCUCCACAUUACAUCAUUGUUUCCUAUUUGCAACUCUUGUGUGUCCAGCAAAUGUGUGAGACUGUGAGUAGUUGUGGAUGCAUUGUUUGGUGUGGAAAUCGUGUGUUUUCCAGCAGCAAAAUGAUGAAGCCUUUCUGAGGCACCUUUCAUCGGAUGUAGCUCCCGUUUUUGAAUGCCAAAAAAGUGUAACUUCCAUGUUUAUGUCACUCAGAAUUCUGGGCAAUAUGCUUCUCGAGUAUUCUUUGUUCCAUAUUUUCACCAGUGACGUCCGUCACUUUCUGGGAAUGAGCACAUAAUGCUAAUAUCACCCAUAGAGUUUUAAUCACAUGAUGAGGGAUGGUAACAAUGGCGUUUUCUAUCAUGAAUGAGUCGAGGAAGUUUCUUGGCAUGUUUCUCCUGUAAAUCCCUUCUUUUGUGCCCCUUCUUUGUAGCCUGAUCUGAUCAAGGUUAUCUGUCUUUGGAUAUGCAUGUUUUGUUAAUUUUUUCUGUUUAGAUAUCUGUGAUAUAGAAGAUUUUGUGCCUUUAACUUAUCGAAUUAAUUUGGUUUGGUGAUUAACUUUUUCAUUUUGAGCGGUGGUGAUCAACUUUGACCGAAUUAGAUUUCUUAAGUUGGUUUCAAAUUGUCAAUUGUUUCCUAUUAAAGAAAUUCAUUGAUUGACAGAUAGGCAAUGAAUUGUUAGUUGUCUACAAUAUCAUUAGCUCUUUGUAAUUGUUUUAUAAAAGUAUCAUUUGGGGACUUUGACUAGUCUAGUUUGUAAUCUAUAUUUUUUGGAGCUUGUUCUGCUAUGUUGAAGUGUUGAAACUUGGAAGGCCAAAGAGUUUAACUUCUCUGACUGAAGGAAAUACAAAGAAGCUGCUGGUCUGUACCUAGUAACGAUCUUUUCUACGUAUUAAUAAAAGUCAUAUUCCUAAAUAUGUAUGUAAUUUAGGUAGUUUGUUUUAUCCUUUUCAUGUUUUUUCUAGUUAGUGUUGAAAUAAAUUUUGAGUCUUAUUAAACUGGAAAAACGGAAGCGUUGUUUAUGUUAGUAAUGUAGUACAGAGAAUUCAACGAAGUCAUACAACAGGGGAUGAAAGUAGAAAGAAAUGUUU